UUCCCUACGGGACGCAGCAGUGGGGAAUAUUGCACAAUGGGCGAAAGCCUGAUGCAGCGACGUCGCGUGAAGGAUGAAGGAUUUCGGUAUGUAAACUUCUAUCAGCAGGGAAGAAAAUGACGGUACCUGACUAAGAAGCCCCGGCUAACUACGUGCCAGCAGCCGCGGUAAUACGUAGGGGGCAAGCGUUAUCCGGAUUUACUGGGUGUAAAGGGAGCGUAGACGGCGAUGCAAGCCAGAUGUGAAAGCCCGGGGCUCAACCCCGGGACUGCAUUGGGAACUGUGGGGCGGGAGUGUGGGAGGGG
This 305-nucleotide ribosomal RNA is filed under the name uncultured bacterium. RNAcentral's name for it is "bacterial SSU rRNA". It matches the Rfam family "Bacterial small subunit ribosomal RNA", at positions 335 to 657 of the family's 1533-position model. The record is from RNAcentral.